This 221-nucleotide long non-coding RNA is filed under the name Brassica napus (rape). RNAcentral's name for it is "long non-coding RNA (BNAP_LNC000799)". Lineage: Eukaryota; Viridiplantae; Streptophyta; Magnoliopsida; Brassicales; Brassicaceae. The record is from RNAcentral.
UUUCAUGUGUGAUUUUUUUAGUUUGGACAAUUCCUAGAAAAUAUCAUAUUUUAUAUAAGUUCAUUAUUAUAUCUUUUAAUAUCCUUAACUUUUUAUUUGAAAUACAAAUGAAUAUAUUUAAAAUGUUCUAACAAAAUCUUUUUAAAAUCUUUCUUAGAAUCUUUUUAAAUUUACUUUCAAAAAUUAGUUAGUUUUAAUUUAUAUUAUCAUAAAAUAUAAUU